GCGGCCAACCGAACAUAGGGCUGUCUCUUCACUCUCCCACCCGUCAUUGAACAUGUCGUGGUCGGGAUGCUUCCGAUCGGUUGCCUGUGCGGUUCUACCCUCUUGUGGGUAGCGAASUCGUCCCUUGAUGGAUAUWUGCUUGCCCUUGUGACAUUUUUGUGUCGUYUGGGCAGCCGAAAUGUUGGCGAUAUCCUUGUGUUGGCGCGUGGUUGAAUGMYGUGUUGCUAUCACUUGGAUUUUUGCCGGCUCUCACGGAUGCGGUGCCUAGCGCUAGCUCUGCGGGACUUUGCCCCGCAGACUUCGGGAGGUCCCUUGUACGAAUCAUUGCUCUUAUACGCCGUCUUGUCGUGCCGYUACCGYGGCACGCAGAUCGUGUUCUUUCGUGCAGUCGUUGACAGCACGA
RNAcentral lists this unclassified non-coding RNA (403 nucleotides) under Carex x doroyuensis. RNAcentral's name for it is "Carex sp. KN-2020B partial miscellaneous RNA". The record is from RNAcentral. Lineage: Eukaryota; Viridiplantae; Streptophyta; Magnoliopsida; Poales; Cyperaceae.